RNAcentral lists this ribosomal RNA (576 nucleotides) under uncultured eukaryote. RNAcentral describes it as "SSU rRNA". It matches the Rfam family "Eukaryotic small subunit ribosomal RNA", at positions 174 to 758 of the family's 1831-position model. The record is from RNAcentral.
UAAAAACCCCGACUUCGGAAGGGGUGUAUUUAUUAGAUACAAAACCAAUGCCCUUCGGGGCUCUUUGGUGAUUCAUGAUAACUAUACGAAUCGCACGGCCUUGCGCCGGCGAUGGUUCAUUCAAAUUUCUUCCCUAUCAACUUUCGAUGUUUGGGUAUUGGCCAAACAUGGUUGCAACGGGUAACGGAGGGUUAGGGCUCGACCCCGGAGAAGGAGCCUGAGAAACGGCUACUACGUCCAAGGAAGGCAGCAGGCGCGCAAAUUACCCAAUCCCGACUCGGGGAGGUAGUGACAAUAAAUACUGAUACAGGGCCCUUUCGGGCCUUGUAAUUGGAAUGAGUACAAUUUAAAUCCCUUAACGAGGAACAAUUGGAGGGCAAGUCUGGUGCCAGCAGCCGCGGUAAUUCCAGCUCCAAUAGCGUAUAUUAAAGUUGUUGUGGUUAAAAAGCUCGUAGUUGAACCUUGGGCCUGGCUGGCCGGUCCGCCUCACCGCGUGCACUGGUCCGGCCGGGCCUUUCCCUCUGUGGAACCCCAUACCCUUCACUGGGCGUGGCGGGGAAACAGGACAUUUACUUU